Molecule: long non-coding RNA, 399 nt
Organism: Solea solea (common sole)
Lineage: Eukaryota; Metazoa; Chordata; Actinopteri; Pleuronectiformes; Soleidae
Exons: 3
Source: RefSeq, a predicted model, not a curated record
UAUACGUCACACUGUGUGACGUAUAGCUCGCCUGUCGCUAGCUCACCUGUUGACCGCCUAGCUGACAGUUGAGAGAUGAAACGGCUGAUAACUGAAACGCGGCGUCCGGAGUGUACAACAGAAACAAGGAGACAGGAGACCAGAAACCCGGAGACCAGAGCCUCGGCGUCGGAUACGAGUGCUCCUUUGGGAUGAUGAAAGAAGAUGAUGAAGAUAACGAUCUGUGUCCUUCGUCGUCCAGUGUAGGCCUGUGUUUUUAGAAGCGGCUUUACCUUGGUGGCAACGGUGCGUCCAAAGAGUAUGGCAUAGCAGAGGUUGAGGGCAGAGGAGUAGGAGAACACGCGGAGCCGGUUCCUGCCGUGCGGUGUCAUGCCAAAGGGGCUGUUCCACUCGUACAGC